GCCGAUAUUGUGCAAAUUUCUCAUUGAUGAAAUAUUUGAUCUCAGGACAGUUUUCUGUAACCAAAACUAGAAUAUGUUAUGAACAGAGUGGACUGCGUUUUGUAGACUUUAACCUUUGCCAAAGUUGUACAAAAUUGCGUGGUUUAGAAGGAGCGCAAAGGUGAAUUUAGUUAUUGCACACUUCAGAGUAGGAAGUUCCUAACGGAAAUAUGCAUAUUAUUGCUAGAACGGGCUAAUAUAAUCUCGCUAGCUCGUGCUUGGCUCUGCCCACUCUGACUAAUUUGUUCCGAUUGGAAACGACAGGCUGUGGUCUAUCUUGGUUUAGUUAUAAAAGUAUUUGGUUGUACUGCACCAGAGUGCCAUUUUUUAAAAUAUAUUACCAAAGUUUAGCAUGUCUUUACAAGGGGAAUGCCGGGCAUAAUAUCCCGUUGCUAGGAGAACGGUAAUGUCAGGACUGCAGUGUGAAAGCAAAGAGUUUUAUACCUAACCCAUUGUGCUAACUUAGUUAGCUAGAAUCUUGUUGCAGAUAAUGAUAGCUAGCUAAAUUAGCUUGAGGCUAUAAACACGUUCAUAUAGCGAUACAAGGAAUGUUUUUAUCUAACCGUGGAAGACAUAAAUCCCAUUUCACAAUUCAUUAACGUUACCUGUUAAAAAUGAGACCCGAUCCAAUUGAUUUAGAGCAAUUGUCGAUGUACUCUGAAGCGGAGCAAGCAUGGACUCGUUCUACGCCGGAAGUAUCAACCGGAAGAAGUUAGCAGCGCGAAUGUUAAUGAGAGCUGUUACCUAGCAACGGAACACAUGCGUAAUAUUUUUACAGCCAGGGCUGAGCAUCUUUGGAGGGUCAGAGACAAAACAUGACUAAACAACAAGACCCAGAGGACGAUGAAGAAAUCCUGAGCACGUUUGAAAAGUUUGUUCGGAAUCAGGGACUGGUUGACUGGCCCGUUGCGUUUGAGGAGAAUAUAGAGAUAUCAUCCCACUUCAAACAUUACAGUCAUCUCAGACUACUAUGACUACUUUAAAGUAAACGUGCCGUUCCCAGUGGAGGUCACCAUGUCCUUCUCCAAGAGCAUAGAGGAGCUAUAUUCCAAGAUAAAACUACAUGCAUCCAUAAUGUCACAAGAACAGAGCAAAAACAAGAAUGCGGAGUCAGUGUUUGAUGAUAUGAAUAAAUAUAAAAUGUAUGUGCAAAGAGCACAUCGAAUCAUGAAAGAGCAGAGUGAGGCAGUGUCACGGAGCUUGGACAUCAAGGACUAUGACUACCCAGGGUUUGAUGCAGUCGAGGACACUGACAUCCCAGGACAUCCUGAUGCCUUACAGCGUCUGAGGCCCAAGGCUUUAAUCCAGGCUUCCUGAAGAUCUGGAGGCCGUUCUUUCUGUGUGAUCUGUCCUUGGCUGUUCUCAAAGACACAUUCUGGUGGUUCUUCCUCCACAGAUUUAAGCCUAAUGUGGAGGAGGAGAGCCAGUUGUUUGAUCGGCUCUCUGGAGCCUUUGUCUCUCUGCUGAUGACCGUUCAGAUGGACCUGAAGGACAAGCUCUUUAAGGUGUAUGCAGACUGCCUGGCCCAGGCGGUCUACGCAGCUUUCUACGGAGCGUUCCCCAUAGUCCAUGGAACGUCUAGGCCAUGACUUCAAGACAGACCUGACUGACCUCAUCUCCCUCUGGGUGUCAGGUGUGAAGCUCACCCUGUUGUCAUGGCAGAGCAGGAACCUGGGCUGGCUGGAUCCUGUAGACACGUCCGGGAAGAGCCAUGGAGAGUCAGCAUGUGACCAUUUCCGGAGACCUUCUCCCCUACCUCACCUCGCUCAUCAACGCAU
Salmo salar (Atlantic salmon) is the source of this 1817-nucleotide long non-coding RNA. RefSeq lists it as uncharacterized. Lineage: Eukaryota; Metazoa; Chordata; Actinopteri; Salmoniformes; Salmonidae. The record is from RefSeq and is a predicted model, not a curated record.